This 433-nucleotide ribosomal RNA is filed under the name uncultured bacterium. RNAcentral describes it as "partial 16S ribosomal RNA". It matches the Rfam family "Bacterial small subunit ribosomal RNA", at positions 29 to 507 of the family's 1533-position model. The record is from RNAcentral.
AACGAACGCUGGCGGCAUGCCUAACACAUGCAAGUCGAACGAGACCUUCGGUUCUAGUGUCGCACGGGUGCGUAACGCGUGGGAACCUGCCCUUAGGUUCGGAAUAACUCCCCGAAAGGGGUGCUAAUACCGGAUAAUGUCUUCGGACCAAAGAUUUAUCGCCUUUGGAUGUGCCCGCGUUGGAUUAGCUAGUUGGUAGGGUAAAAGCCUACCAAGGCGACGAUCCAUAGCUGGUCUGAGAGGAUGAUCAGCCACGCUGGGACUGAGACACGGCCCAGACUCCUACGGGAGGCAGCAGUGGGGAAUAGUGGACAAUGGGCGAAAGCCUGAUCCAGCAAUGCCGCGUGAGUGACGAAGGCCUUAGGGUUGUAAAGCUCUUUUACCCGGGAUGAUAAUGACAGUACCGGGAGAAUAAGCUCCGGCUAACUCCGUG